UGACGAACGGGUGAGUAACGCGUGAGGAACCUGCCUCAAAGAGGGGGACAACAGUUGGAAACGACUGCUAAUACCGCAUAAGCCCACGGGUCGGCAUCGACCUGGGGGAAAAGGAGCAAUCCGCUUUGAGAUGGCCUCGCGUCCGAUUAGCUAGUUGGUGAGGUAACGGCCCACCAAGGCGACGAUCGGUAGCCGGACUGAGAGGUUGAACGGCCACAUUGGGACUGAGACACGGCCCAG
RNAcentral lists this ribosomal RNA (240 nucleotides) under uncultured bacterium. Its description in RNAcentral is "partial 16S ribosomal RNA". It matches the Rfam family "Bacterial small subunit ribosomal RNA", at positions 96 to 334 of the family's 1533-position model. The record is from RNAcentral.